Homo sapiens (human) is the source of this 1373-nucleotide long non-coding RNA. RefSeq lists it as uncharacterized. NCBI's taxonomy places the organism in Eukaryota, Metazoa, Chordata, Mammalia, Primates, Hominidae. The transcript is spliced from 2 exons. The record is from RefSeq and is a predicted model, not a curated record.
GCUGAUGUUGAUGGAGGCUGAAGAGGUGAUGCCAAAGUUGGCCACCGGGCAGGUCCCACAGCCCAGCUCCUGGGGCCUUCCAGAGGUUGGCGAAGAGUUAACUUUCCGGAGCGGCUCCCUAGGCGCCGCGCCGCUAGGGUUGUUCCCUAGUUUACGUCUCUGGGCAAAGCCUCUCGGGGAAGGAAAAAAAACAGCGAUACUUUUCUUUUUUUUACUGGUAUGACAAUGACAAGGAAGACAGUCUCUGUGCCGGGAUUUAAACACGGGUUUUCAGGCGAGCGAUUUCUGUGUGAACUGUCAUUAAAUGUCAGAUAAUGAAGACGGAACCAAAUCAGCAAAUCUCACCAUCCCAUGUCAUGUUCUGAAAAUGGUGUUUCUCUGCUUGCAUCUCUCUGUUCUUAGACCUUUCCAACAGCAUCUUUCUGUGGUAUUAACGGGUUAAAAUUUACGGAGAAUUCGUUUUUCUUAGACGAACAAUUCUAGCCUUGUGGAAUCAAUACUCUCUUUUACUUAAUUACAGAAAUAUAAUUUUAAACAUUUAUUUUGUUAAGAGCUUCCCAAUAACCAGGGAUUAAUAAAAGAAUGACAGGAACAGACUAGAUUCAUAGAGAUUUUUAAUAAUCACCAGCUAUGGGAGAUACAGCUUAACUUUGAUGCCUCACGUUGUUCCUUCUAAAUUGUUUUCACCUUUCUAAGCAAGAAAAUUAAGUAUUAAAGUAGUUCUUAUCGAGACUUUAUUUCUAAUAAUGAGCUGUUAAGAAUCUAAACACGGGUGGGCGCGAUGGCCCACGCCUGUAAUCCCAGCACUUUUGGAGGCCGAGGCGGGCGGAUCACGAGGUCAGGAGUUCGAAACCAGUCUGGCCAAGAUGGUGAAACCCCGCCUCGACUAAAAAUACAAAAAAUUAGCCAGGUGUUGCGGUGUGCGUCUGUAAUCCCGGGUACUCGGGAAGCUGAGGCAGAAGUAUCGCGUGAACCCGGGAGGCGGAGGUUGCAGUGAGCCGAGAUCACGCCAUUGCACUCCAGCCCCGGGCGACAGAGUGAGACUCCAUCUCAAAAAAGAAAAAAAAAAAAAAAAGAACCUAAACACUCCUGGCAAGGAAGUAAGUAAAACUGGCUACAGGAAAUAUUCUGACUUUUCAUAGUGAGUGCACCCUGAAGCCUAUACUAGGAACCAGAAUAUACGGACAGGACUUAGAUUAUCUUACCAUUUUUUUAAAAAGUGAAGGCAAAAACAUCAUAAAGUACAACUUUCAAAACUUCUCUACAGGCACCACACCCUUUAUGACAUUAAAAAAAAGGGUGACAGAAUUUGGCAAACUGCUUUAUAUCCUGAAACACUCUCAACCCAAUAAAAAUGUCUUUAAAACAGGGAA